ACGUAGGGGCCGAGCGUUGUCCGGAGUUACUGGGCGUAAAGCGCGCGCAGGCGGCCACUUAAGCCCGGCGUGAAAGCCCCCGGCUCAACCGGGGAGGGUCGUCGGGGACUGGGUGGCUUGAGGACGGCAGGGGCUGGUGGAAUCCCCGGUGUAGUGGUGAAAUGCGUAGAGAUCGGGGGGAACACCCGUGGCGAAGGCGGCCAGCUGGGCCGGUCCUGACGCUGAGGCGCGAAGGCGUGGGGAGCGAACGGGA
Molecule: ribosomal RNA, 253 nt
Filed under: uncultured prokaryote
Description: partial 16S ribosomal RNA
Rfam family: Bacterial small subunit ribosomal RNA
Source: RNAcentral